RNAcentral lists this ribosomal RNA (510 nucleotides) under uncultured bacterium. RNAcentral describes it as "partial 16S ribosomal RNA". It matches the Rfam family "Bacterial small subunit ribosomal RNA", at positions 28 to 507 of the family's 1533-position model. The record is from RNAcentral.
GACGAACGCUGGCGGCGUGCUUAACACAUGCAAGUCGAACGAAGAGCGAUGGAAGCUUGCUUCUAUCAAUCUUAGUGGCGAACGGGUGAGUAACGCGUAAUCAACCUGCCCUUCAGAGGGGGUCAACAGUUGGAAACGACUGCUAAUACCGCAUACGAUCUAAUCUCGGCAUCGAGGAUAGAUGAAAGGUGGCCUCUACAUGUAAGCUAUCACUGAAGGAGGGGAUUGCGUCUGAUUAGCUAGUUGGAGGGGUAACGGCCCACCAAGGCGAUGAUCAGUAGCCGGUCUGAGAGGAUGAACGGCCACAUUGGGACUGAGACACGGCCCAGACUCCUACGGGAGGCAGCAGUGGGGAAUCUUCCGCAAUGGACGAAAGUCUGACGGAGCAACGCCGCGUGAGUGAUGACGGCCUUCGGGUUGUAAAGCUCUGUUAAUCGGGACGAAAGGCCUUCUUGCGAAUAGUGAGAAGGAUUGACGGUACCGGAAUAGAAAGCCACGGCUAACUACGUG